UUUGCCGUUCUGUUUCUCUUCCUCGCCACCAACUCUGUCUUCAUUUCUUCUCCCUCCGCUUACCUCUGUCUCUGCCUCCUACUCCAAACGCAUCAAGGUUCCAUUCUUAUCGCUUUUUCUAUGAAAACUACAUGGAGUUUUGAUGAAGCUCUUGGUACAUAUUUGCAUGUAUGAGGUGUAAUUUCAUCCAGAAAACAUUGUAUAACAACUGAAGAAAUGAAAUUGAAGAAAAUGAGGCUGGUAGUUCACGAAAAUGUGUCAUUAGUACCGAAUGCUUAUCCAUUGUAACAUUUGUAUUUUGCGGGCCAACAUACAUGAAAGAAAAACAUUUUUAGCAAAACCAUUAAAAGAACAGUUUAUUCUGUUUAGACCAUAGCUUUGGAUUUUAUUAAUGUGAGAUUGAUCCUCUUGAAUGCCCCCAAAUAAUUUAGAAUUAAAGGCCUAUAUUGAUAUUGAACAAAAUAAAAAGGGGAGUCCUAUGGUUUCCUGAGCCAUACAACAUCAUCUUAGUUUGAAUAUAGUUUGGGGAGGAGGGGCAGAAUGGGACUUAAUGGCAUGUUAUUUGUUAUUGUUGUUGUAUUGUCAUCCAUGUUAUUCAUUCACCUGCUUGGGCACAUUUUUGUUCAUUGUUGUCUUGAAGAUGGGACGGUUGUUCACCGUGGAAGGUUAUUUCUGUCCUGCAUUGGCCAAGGCUGUGAUGACAAUGAAGAAGGGAGAGAAUGGAAGACCAGCAUCAGGUGAUGAAGGUGCCGUGCCUCGGAAUGCUUCUCUGCAAAAACCAAGGAUAAGAAGGUUCUCAAGAAGACCCUGAAGGAGGGAGAGGGAUAUGAACGUCCCAAUGAUGGAGCUGUGGUUCAAGUGAAACUUAUUGGUAAGGUGCAAGAUGGGACUGUUUUCGUGAAGAAGGGUGAGGAUGAUGAGCAGCCAUUUGAGUUCAAAAUUGACGAGGAGCAAGUGAUUGAUGGACUUGAUAAAGCUGUAAUGAACAUUUAAAAAGCGGAAGUUGCACUGGUGACCAUACAUCCUAAAUACACUUUUGGCUCAUCUGGGUCAACUCAGAAGAGUACAUUAGUGCGAUCCAUUCUCAAGUAGAAUGAGUGGUAUGAGUGGUGAUUGUCUCAAGUUGUGAAGUCGUGUAUUUGAGUAUGCGGUCUAAGAUUUUAUUUAGGAACUUAGGAUGCACAAAAUCCAAGUACUUCUUAAUGCUUGUUAAGUAUGCACAAGUUAUCAUUAGACUAUGAUA
Long non-coding RNA from Arachis stenosperma, 1243 nucleotides. RefSeq lists it as uncharacterized. NCBI's taxonomy places the organism in Eukaryota, Viridiplantae, Streptophyta, Magnoliopsida, Fabales, Fabaceae. The transcript is spliced from 4 exons. The record is from RefSeq and is a predicted model, not a curated record.